GACGAACGCUGGCGGCGUGGAUUAGGCAUGCAAGUCGAACGGUAUCAUCCUUUCGGGGGUGAGAGAGUGGCGAACUGGUGAGUAACACGUAGGUUAUCUACCCUCAAGACGGGGACAACCCAGGGAAACUUGGGCUAAUACCGGAUGUGAGCAACUUUUAGUUGUUUGAAAGGUGGCGUAAGCUGUCGCUUGGGGAUGAGCCUGCGUCCUAUUAGUUAGUUGGUGAGGUAACGGCUCACCUAGGCAAUGAUAGGUAGGCGGCCUUAACGGGUGGUCGCCCACACUGGGAUUGAGAUACGGCCCAGACUCCUACGGGAGGCAGCAGUCGAGAAUAGUCUACAAUGGUCGGAAGACUGAUAGUGCGACGCCGCGUGAACGAUGAAUCCCUUCGGGGUGUAAAGUUCUUUUAUAUGUGAGCAGUGCUUCUUAUAUUAACAGUAUGGGGAGAGAGAUAUUAGCAUAUGAAUAAGCAACGGCUAAACUCCGUGCCAGCAGCCGCGGUAAGACG
This 508-nucleotide ribosomal RNA is filed under the name uncultured bacterium. RNAcentral's name for it is "bacterial SSU rRNA". It matches the Rfam family "Bacterial small subunit ribosomal RNA", at positions 28 to 527 of the family's 1533-position model. The record is from RNAcentral.